GCCCAGCUAGCUCAGUCAGUAGAGCAUGAGAUUCUUAAUCUCAAGGUUGUGGAUUCGAACCCCAUGUUGGGAGCCA
This is a non-coding RNA of Sorex fumeus (smoky shrew), 76 nucleotides long. NCBI's taxonomy places the organism in Eukaryota, Metazoa, Chordata, Mammalia, Eulipotyphla, Soricidae. The record is from the annotation of a RefSeq genome assembly.